UACGUAGGGUGCAAGCGUUGUCCGGAAUUAUUGGGCGUAAAGGGCUCGUAGGCGGUUUGUCGCGUCUGCUGUGAAAACCCGAGGCUCAACCUCGGGCCUGCAGUGGGUACGGGCAGACUAGAGUGGCGGUAGGGGAGAUUUGGAAUUCCUGGUGUAGCGGUGGAAUGCGCAGAUAGUCAGGAGGAACACCAAUGGCGAAGGCAGAUCUCUGGGCCGUAACUGACGCUGAGGAGCGAAAGCAUGGGGAGCGAACAGG
Molecule: ribosomal RNA, 256 nt
Filed under: uncultured bacterium
Lineage: Bacteria
Description: partial 16S ribosomal RNA
Rfam family: Bacterial small subunit ribosomal RNA
Source: RNAcentral